UCUGGUGCAGAUGUCACCGUCGAUGGUCCGUCAGGACAGGUUUGCUUGGAGCUCUCGGCACUUGGAACCCCGAGUUUUAAGGACGUCAGAGGAGAAGUGGCAACAGCUGUCAGGCAGAUGUGGUGGCCCACGUCUAUGGGGACUCGGGCACCUGACUAACGCUGUCAAUGCUUCGGGUUUCUUCUCAGAAAAAUGGCAAAAUAAAAGCCUCUCCAACCUCCUGCA
This 225-nucleotide long non-coding RNA is filed under the name Marmota monax (woodchuck). The record is from RNAcentral. Lineage: Eukaryota; Metazoa; Chordata; Mammalia; Rodentia; Sciuridae.